GAGUUUGAUCUUGGCUCAGGAUGAACGCUAGCGGCAGGCUUAAUACAUGCAAGUCGUGGGGCAGCAGGGGUAGCAAUACCCGCUGGCGACCGGCAAACGGGUGCGGAACACGUACGCAACCUUCCUUUAACUGGAGAAUAGCCCCUCGAAAGAGGGAUUAAUACUCCGUAAUAUGUACAUGUGGCAUCAUAAGUACAUUAUAGCUCCGGCGGUUAAAGAUGGGCGUGCGCCUGAUUAGAUAGUUGGCGGGGUAACGGCCCACCAAGUCUGCGAUCAGUAACUGGUGUGAGAGCACGACCAGUCACACGGGCACUGAGACACGGGCCCGACUCCUACGGGAGCAGCAGUAAGGAUAUGGUCAAUGGACGCAAGUCUGAACCAGCCAUGCCGCGUGGAGGAUUAAGGCCCUCUGGGUUGUAAACUCCUUUUAUCUGGGAAGAAAUGCCAGUUUCUAAUUGGUUUGACGGUACCAGAGGAAUAAGCACCGGCUAACUCCGUGCCAGCCGCCGCUGU
RNAcentral lists this ribosomal RNA (513 nucleotides) under uncultured bacterium. RNAcentral describes it as "bacterial SSU rRNA". It matches the Rfam family "Bacterial small subunit ribosomal RNA", at positions 9 to 521 of the family's 1533-position model. The record is from RNAcentral.